RNAcentral lists this ribosomal RNA (253 nucleotides) under uncultured prokaryote. Its description in RNAcentral is "partial 16S ribosomal RNA". It matches the Rfam family "Bacterial small subunit ribosomal RNA", at positions 524 to 776 of the family's 1533-position model. The record is from RNAcentral.
GACGGAAGGUGCAAGCGUUGCUCGGAAUCAUUGGGCGUAAAGGGUGCGUAGGCGGCUUGGUCAGUCGGGUGUGAAAGCCCUGGGCUCAGCCCGGGAAGGGCACUCGAAACUGCCGAGCUGGAGUGCCGGAGGGGAGAGUGGAAUUCCUGGUGUAGCGGUGAAAUGCGUAGAGAUCGGGAGGAAGGCCGGUGGCGAAGGCGGCGCUCUGGAACGUUUCUGACGCUGAGGCUCGAAAGCGUGGGGAGCAAACAGG